AUUCAUGUGGUCGAAGUGUUGUGUCUUGAUUUUGGCAGUGGCCACACCAAUAUAUACUGCACAUGGCAUAAAAUUACAUAGAACCAAAUAUACACAUGUACACAAGUGAGUGUACAUAAUACUCAUAAAAUCUGACAAGAUCAGUAUCUUAUAAUUUUUUUGGUUACACUAUUGAACAUAGUUAUGCCAACAUUUGAGGGAAAUUGUGCAUUGUUUGGGGAAACUGGGUGAAGGGUAUAUGGGAUAACUGGAAUUUCUUACAAUUACAUGUGAAUCAACAAGUAUCUCCGAAUGAAAUGCUGAGGAGGCACCGGAUCUUUUCACCAUGUGAUUCCAUCUGUGGCUCUCCUCCAACUCAGCCAAAGCCCUGAUUCUCCAGGAAGAAGUAAGAGCUUGUAAAGAAAAGGCCUGAAAAGCCAGAAAAGGAACCAUACAGCAGGAGGGAGUUGAGAAACUCAAGUUCCCAAGUUAGGUGUUACUUGUGAUUUCAUCACUCACAGCAGCUGCCAGGAGACAUCUGCGUCUAUCCCUCUGGGAACCAUCCAGAAGGACCGCUCCUCUUGUGGCUGCCAUCUCCUCCUCACCUUUGUCAGAGCUGCACUGGGGCCUAGCUGAGUCUACUGAAACUGCAGUUAAGAAAUAACCAAAUCACCACCGUACUACCUUUGCCAUGUUCCAACCACUGCCUGGCAGCAGCAACUGGCCAAAUGUUCAUCAUGUCCAUUUCUCUUCUAGGACACACAUUUGGACUACAGUUUCUAAUCUCCCUUGAGCUCCCCGCCUCCAUUCCAGGCUCCUAGGGCAGUGAAGCUCAGCGGGUCCCAGCACCCGGAAGGAAGCCC
Heterocephalus glaber (naked mole-rat) is the source of this 842-nucleotide long non-coding RNA. RefSeq lists it as uncharacterized. Lineage: Eukaryota; Metazoa; Chordata; Mammalia; Rodentia; Bathyergidae. The record is from RefSeq and is a predicted model, not a curated record.